Molecule: ribosomal RNA, 319 nt
Filed under: uncultured eukaryote
Lineage: Eukaryota
Description: partial 18S ribosomal RNA
Rfam family: Eukaryotic small subunit ribosomal RNA
Source: RNAcentral
CGCUUAGAUGGUCUGGGCGGCACGCGCGCUACAAUGAUGCAUUCAGAAAGUCUUCUGACCUUAGAAGGUUGGGUAUUCUCCAAAGUGCAUCGUGAUGGGAAUAGUUUAUUGCAAUUUUUAAUCUUGAACGAGGAAUUUCUAGUAAAUACAGGUCAUCAACUUGUGUUGAUUACGUCCCUGCCCUUUGUACACACCGCCCGUCGCUCCUACUGAUUGAGUGUCUCGGUGAAUUCUUUGAUUCUCUGUCGAUUCAGUUCACUGAUCCGACGGUGGAAAGUUGAAUGAACUUCGUCACUUAGAGGAAGGAGAAGUCGUAACA